Molecule: long non-coding RNA, 301 nt
Filed under: Dromaius novaehollandiae (emu)
Lineage: Eukaryota; Metazoa; Chordata; Aves; Casuariiformes; Dromaiidae
Description: lncRNA (ENSDNVG00000011316.1)
Source: RNAcentral
AUGUUUUGUCUGCCUUUAUCUUCAUCCACACAAGUGCAGAAGUUGAAUGAAAGUUUUUUGGGAGACUUAAAAGAUCAGAAGUCCCUGUACCAGCCCCUGCCAUGGCUGAUCUGCAGCACCAUUGAAUGUGAUCAUCAGGAACUGACUAGAAAAUGCCUYGAAAAAUUGUGAAAUGGGACAAGUAUGGAGCUAAUUUUUUUUGUCAAUCCUGUGGUGCUCCAGUGUUCCAAACAUUCUCAGCAUUUGCAUCCAAAAAAGGUAAGUGAGGCUGGAACAUAAUUUCUAAAAAAUGAAGGUAAAA